RNAcentral lists this small RNA (405 nucleotides) under Gibbsiella quercinecans. RNAcentral describes it as "cspA thermoregulator". It matches the Rfam family "cspA thermoregulator". Lineage: Bacteria; Pseudomonadati; Pseudomonadota; Gammaproteobacteria; Enterobacterales; Yersiniaceae. The record is from RNAcentral.
UCGGUUUGGAACACAGACCUUAUGAAAGCAGUUUUAGUAAAGCAGUUCUCAGUUCAAGAGUUUAUCCAUAGAUGCCCUUCUUCAUGAGCCUUCUCCUAAGUGCCCAAUAAGUAAUUAUCUGAAUACAGGCCAUGUUUGCCACCUUAAGUGGCUAAAAAUUAAAGGAAGUAUCUAUGUCUAAUAAAAUGACUGGUUUAGUAAAAUGGUUUGACGCUGGUAAAGGUUUUGGUUUUAUUUCGCCAGAAGAUGGCAGUAAAGAUGUAUUCGUACAUUUUUCAGCUAUCCAAAGUAAUGACUUCAAAACUCUGGAUGAAGGGCAAAAAGUGGAAUUCUCUAUCGAGAAUGGCGCAAAAGGCCCUUCUGCCGGCAAUGUCUGUGCGAUUUAAUGCCAGAUAAUUCGCAAAG